Molecule: transfer RNA, 86 nt
Filed under: Candidatus Woesearchaeota archaeon
Lineage: Archaea; Nanobdellati; Candidatus Woesearchaeota
Description: tRNA-Leu
Rfam family: tRNA
About the family: Transfer RNA (tRNA) molecules are approximately 80 nucleotides in length. Their secondary structure includes four short double-helical elements and three loops (D, anti-codon, and T loops).
Source: RNAcentral
GCCGAUGUCGCAUAACCAGGUAGUGUGUCUGAUUUAGAAUCAGAUGACUCGCCAGAGUCUUGCGGGUUCGAAUCCCGCCAUCGGCG